GUGAGGAAUAUUGGUCAAUGGACGAGAGUCUGAACCAGCCAAGUCGCGUGAAGGAAGACGGUUCUAUGAAUUGUAAACUUCUUUUGUGCAGGAAUAAAGUGGGUUACGUGUAACCUUUUGUAUGUACUGUACGAAUAAGGAUCGGCUAACUCCGUGCCAGCAGCCGCGGUAAUACGGAGGAUCCGAGCGUUAUCCGGAUUUAUUGGGUUUAAAGGGUGCGUAGGUGGAUUGAUAAGUCAGCGGUGAAAGUUUGCAGCUUAACUGUAAAAUUGCAGUUGAAACUGUCGGUCUUGAGUGCAAAUGAGGUAGGCGGAAUGUGUUGUGUAGCGGUGAAAUGCUUAGAUAUAACACAGAACUCCGAUUGCGAAGGCAGCUUACUGGGAUGCAACUGACACUGAUGCACGAAAGCGUGGGUAUCAAACAGGAUUAGAAACCCUAGUAGUCC
RNAcentral lists this ribosomal RNA (445 nucleotides) under uncultured bacterium. RNAcentral describes it as "partial 16S ribosomal RNA". It matches the Rfam family "Bacterial small subunit ribosomal RNA", at positions 354 to 796 of the family's 1533-position model. The record is from RNAcentral.